RNAcentral lists this ribosomal RNA (376 nucleotides) under uncultured bacterium. RNAcentral describes it as "bacterial SSU rRNA". It matches the Rfam family "Bacterial small subunit ribosomal RNA", at positions 524 to 898 of the family's 1533-position model. The record is from RNAcentral.
UACGUAGGAGGCGAGCGUUGUCCGGAUUUACUGGGCGUAAAGGGCGCGCAGGCGGCCCACCAAGUACGAUGUGAAAUCUCCCUGCUCAACGGGGAGGGUGCAUAGUAAACUGGUGAGCUAGAGGACGGUAGAGGGGGGUGGAAUUGCUGGUGUAGCGGUGAAAUGCGUAGAGAUCAGCAGGAACACCCGUGGCGAAGGCGGCCCCCUGGGCCGUACCUGACGCUGAGGCGCGAAGGCUAGGGGAGCGAACGGGAUUAGAUACCCCGGUAGUCCUAGCAGUAAACGAUGGCCACUAGGUGUGGGGGGUGUUGACCCCUUCCGUGCCGCAGCCAACGCAUUAAGUGGCCCGCCUGGGGAGUACGGUCGCAAGACUAAA